AUCUUCCACAAUGGGCGAAACCCUGACGCAGCAACGCCGCGUGCAGGAAGAAGGUCUUCGGAUUGUAAACUGUUGUCGCAAGGGAAGAAGAAAAUGACGGUACCUUGUGAGAAAGUCACGGCUAACUACGUUCCACCAGCCGCGGUAAUACGUAGGUGACAAGCGUUGUCCGGAUUUACUGGGUGUAAAGGGCGCGUAGGCGGGAUAGCAAGUCAGAAGUGAAAUGCCGGGGCUCAACCCCGGAGCUGCUUUUGAAACUGUUAUUCUUGAGUAUCGGAGAGGAAAGCGGAAUUCCCAGUGUAGCGGUGAAAUGCGUAGAUAUUGGGAGGAACACCAGUGGCGAAGGCGGCUUUCUAGACGACAACUGACGCUGAGGCGCGAAAGUGUGGGGAGCAAA
This 397-nucleotide ribosomal RNA is filed under the name uncultured bacterium. Its description in RNAcentral is "bacterial SSU rRNA". It matches the Rfam family "Bacterial small subunit ribosomal RNA", at positions 361 to 772 of the family's 1533-position model. The record is from RNAcentral.